Sus scrofa (pig) is the source of this 68-nucleotide non-coding RNA. Lineage: Eukaryota; Metazoa; Chordata; Mammalia; Artiodactyla; Suidae. The record is from Rfam.
GGGGGUAUAGCUCACUGGUAGAGCAUGUGCUUAGCGUGCAUGAGGCCACAGGUUCCCUGGUACCUCCG